Molecule: ribosomal RNA, 253 nt
Filed under: uncultured bacterium
Lineage: Bacteria
Description: partial 16S ribosomal RNA
Rfam family: Bacterial small subunit ribosomal RNA
Source: RNAcentral
UACAGAGGGGGCAAGCGUUGUUCGGAAUUACUGGGCGUAAAGGGCGCGUAGGCGGCCUUCUAAGUCGAACGUGAAAUCCCUGGGCUCAACCCAGGAACUGCGUCCGAUACUGGAAGGCUUGAAUCCGGGAGAGGGAUGCGGAAUUCCAGGUGUAGCGGUGAAAUGCGUAGAUAUCUGGAGGAACACCGGUGGCGAAGGCGGCAUCCUGGACCGGUAUUGACGCUGAGGAGCGAAAGCCAGGGGAGCAAACGGG